AGGCGACUGCUCCCGCGAGGUCAGAGCCGGGCUGUGCCGCUGCCCCCGGGACUAGAAAGGGAAAUCUCCUUGCUAGAGGAGGAAGCCCUAAGAACUCAAGGGAGAUAGGGGUGGCAGGGGCAUUUCCCUGGAUGCCUGGAGCAUGGAGGGUGCGAAAUAAGGAGGCUUUCCUACCCCAUUGAUGAGCUGAAGUUGAUUCCGCACGGGGGAGGAAAGGGACAGGAAGCAUAAUUGGAUGUGCAAGCCUGUGGUUCUUCAGGAAGUUAACACGUGGAACUAACACUGUUGGAUGCUGCUGAACUCUCAGGAGGCUUUCCGGAAGCACUAAGAAAUAGAACUAGUUUGUCUAAUUUGGAAUUAAAAGAGUAACCAACUGAGUGUCUUCAGCAGUGACAAUGAAAAUGUACCACUUCCCAUUUUGAUAAUUCAAAGAGCCUUAAGAAAGAUCGUUUUGCUUGAAAGCACUAUUUCACACUGACACUGGUCAUUCAUAGGCUUCAGAUAAGAAAAACUCCAGCAGUGUCCAGAUCAAGCCAUCCUGACUUUGUCUCUAGGCGGCUUAACCUCAAGUCACAGCCUGGUCUCUGCAGCAGAGCCAGGCAUUCCGGAGCCUGCACGGCCUAGCUCUUCUGGAGCAGAUGGGCUCACUUCCCAGGGUGCUGCUAGCUUGCAUUCAAAGUGACUUCACAUCUCACUCCCUCAGGUGGUCAGGAUGAUGCCCAUCCCUGAUCUGACACAGGCACUGAUGUCCACUAGACUCUGGCCAGCAAAAAGCCCUCUCACAGAAGAAGGGGUCAAAAAGGGCUAAAUCUGAGACAGAAGCCAGUUUCUCAGAUGUGCUAUUUCUGCCUAAGCAUCCUUUCUUGAACAAUAAAAAAAAAAGGCUGAAAAUAUCUCUUAUAUCAUUUUCAGGAACACAAA
Homo sapiens (human) is the source of this 921-nucleotide long non-coding RNA. Ensembl annotates it as DGUOK antisense RNA 1. Its record names the gene DGUOK-AS1. NCBI's taxonomy places the organism in Eukaryota, Metazoa, Chordata, Mammalia, Primates, Hominidae. The record is from Ensembl.